This is a long non-coding RNA of Peromyscus eremicus (cactus mouse), 502 nucleotides long. RefSeq lists it as uncharacterized. NCBI's taxonomy places the organism in Eukaryota, Metazoa, Chordata, Mammalia, Rodentia, Cricetidae. The record is from RefSeq and is a predicted model, not a curated record. The transcript is spliced from 3 exons.
UGUAGGAGAGCUCCCUUCAAGGCCAGUGAAUAGGGGCCAAGUAGCCAAUUCUUUCCCAUCUGCUGAAACAUCUCAGUAUCUCUUAGAAUGGGAAACAGGAGCUUCUUGAUUAUGGAGAGUCUAAUGACACACAGAGCAAGAUAGAGGAGCUAGUAUGGAUGUUUAGUAGGAAAUGUUUGAGCUUUCAGACAGUAAAAUGUGGACUAAGAGUAUGGGCAUUUUGCUACGGAAAAUAAGGCCAGGCUAACAUUCAGAGCAGCUGGGAAGUCGAGGCUGAGGGAGAAGCAGAGAGAGGACAGCAUUGUUCCGAGUGUCAGAAUGAGGCAUCGCCGGAUGGAGACUUGGAUCAGGACAUCAUGUGCAAGAAAAAAAAAAAAGGCUUAACUACUUACUGCAAGCUAUUACUAUGGUGAGGUGCCUUGGGGCAGCAAAGAAGUACUGGGUAGACUCUGGCCCUCAGCAAUAAAAAUGGAAGCCUAGCAGCUGCUGCUGACAGAGUGCU